This 428-nucleotide ribosomal RNA is filed under the name uncultured prokaryote. RNAcentral describes it as "bacterial SSU rRNA". It matches the Rfam family "Bacterial small subunit ribosomal RNA", at positions 355 to 774 of the family's 1533-position model. The record is from RNAcentral.
UAAGGAAUAUUGCGCAAUGGGGGAAACCCUGACGCAGCAACGCCGCGUGGGUGAAGAAGGCCUUCGGGUUGUAAAGCCCUGUCUAGCGGGAAGAACCUCCCUUUGGUGAAUAGCCAGGGGGACUGACGGUACCGCUGAAGGAAGCACCGGCUAACUCCGUGCCAGCAGCCGCGGUAAUACGGAGGGUGCAGGCGUUAUUCGGAAUCAUUGGGUGUAAAGCGCGUGUAGGCGGCUUGGAAAGUCAGAUGUGAAAGCUUCGGGCUUAACCCGGAAAGUGCAUUUGAAACUCCCAGGCUUGAGUCCCGGAGAGGAAGGUGGAAUUCCCAGUGUAGAGGUGAAAUUCGUAGAUAUUGGGAGGAACACCGGUGGCGAAGGCGACCUUCUGGACGGUGACUGACGCUGAGACGCGAAAGCGUGGGUAGCAAACA